ACGACCUUACUUGAACAGGAUCUAUUUUAUAGGCUCGUACCUUUGUAUCUUUAAGUUAAAAGGAGACGGUUUUCUUAUCUGGUUGAUGAUGUGUGAUCUUAGCGUGAUUGCUAGUCUGGUGGAGCCCUUGCAGGUUCACCUCGACCACAGAAGGUCGUUCUCAGUUAGCCUUGUGCCGCUGGAAAGGUCACGCAGUUGUCUGACAGACU
This 209-nucleotide small nucleolar RNA is filed under the name Gossypium hirsutum (cotton). Its description in RNAcentral is "Plant small nucleolar RNA U3". It matches the Rfam family "Plant small nucleolar RNA U3". Rfam says of the family: Small nucleolar RNAs (snoRNAs) are involved in the processing and modification of rRNA in the nucleolus. There are two main classes of snoRNAs: the box C/D class, and the box H/ACA class. The record is from Rfam by way of RNAcentral. Lineage: Eukaryota; Viridiplantae; Streptophyta; Magnoliopsida; Malvales; Malvaceae.